This 324-nucleotide ribosomal RNA is filed under the name uncultured Verrucomicrobiota bacterium. RNAcentral's name for it is "bacterial SSU rRNA". It matches the Rfam family "Bacterial small subunit ribosomal RNA", at positions 29 to 351 of the family's 1533-position model. The record is from RNAcentral. Lineage: Bacteria; Pseudomonadati; Verrucomicrobiota.
AACGAACGCUGGCGGCGUGUUUAAGACAUGCAAGUCGCACGGGAUCAUUUUGGUAGCAAUACUCGGAUGGUCCAGUGGCGCACGGGUGAGUAACACGUGAAUGACAUGCCCUAUAGUGGGGGAUAGCCCAGGGAAACUUGGAUUAAUACCCCAUGGUAUCGCGAGAUUAAAGGUGGCCGCAAGGCUGUCGCUAUAGGAUUGGUUCGCGUUCUAUCAGCUUGUUGGCGGGGUAACGGCCCACCAAGGCUACGACGGAUACCUGGUCUGAGAGGACGAUCAGGCACACUGGAACUGAGACACGGUCCAGACACCUACGGGUGGCUG